AUCGAACGCUGGCGGCAGGCCUAACACAUGCAAGUCGAACGAGUGGCGGACGGGUGAGUAAUGUCUGGGAAACUGCCUGAUGGAGGGGGCUAACUACUGGAAACGGUAGCUAAUACCGCAUACCAUCGGAUGUGCCCAGAUGGGAUUAGCUAGUAGGUGGGGUAAAGGCUCACCUAGGCGACGAUCCCUAGCUGGUCUGAGAGGAUGACCCGCCACACUGGAACUGAGACACGGGCCAGACGCCUACGGGAGGCAGCAGUGGGGAAUAUUGCACAAUGGGCGCAAGCCGGAUGCAGCCAGGCCGCGUGUAUGAAGAAGGCCUUCGGGUUGUAAAGUACUUUCAGCGGGGAGGCGUUACCCGCAGAAGAAGCACCGGCUAACUCCGUGCCAGCAGCCGCGGUAAUUC
RNAcentral lists this ribosomal RNA (406 nucleotides) under uncultured bacterium. RNAcentral describes it as "partial 16S ribosomal RNA". It matches the Rfam family "Bacterial small subunit ribosomal RNA", at positions 29 to 526 of the family's 1533-position model. The record is from RNAcentral.